AAGAAUGGGCAUUGAUUAUUUUGGCAUACGUAACGGCGUGACAUGUUUUGAAUACGCGUUCACGUGAAUUUUUAUCUAUCCACUUCACUUCACUUGUCAUAUUCAUAGAGCGAGAGCGAAAGAAUCAUCGAAGAAUAAAGCGAUGGAACCUCCUCAAAUACAGUCCGUUGAUGCUUCAGCCACCGCCGGAGAUGAUGAUCCACAAGACAAGAUCAUCAACGAUUGUUGUUCUUGCUGUUAUGACUGUUCUGGGGGUUUCUUCGACUACUUGUGCUGUUGAAUUAUUUCCAUCGAAUUUCAAUUCCAUGUAUAAUUAUCAGAUGUAUGUUAUAAUUAUUUAUAUUUAAUAUUGAUUUAAAUAAUACUUGUCGAAUAUUUUUACUAA
Long non-coding RNA from Lathyrus oleraceus (garden pea), 385 nucleotides. RefSeq lists it as uncharacterized. Lineage: Eukaryota; Viridiplantae; Streptophyta; Magnoliopsida; Fabales; Fabaceae. The transcript is spliced from 2 exons. The record is from RefSeq and is a predicted model, not a curated record.